RNAcentral lists this ribosomal RNA (392 nucleotides) under uncultured bacterium. RNAcentral describes it as "bacterial SSU rRNA". It matches the Rfam family "Bacterial small subunit ribosomal RNA", at positions 355 to 764 of the family's 1533-position model. The record is from RNAcentral.
UGGGGAAUAUUGCGCAAUGGGGGAAACCCUGACGCAGCAACGCCGCGUGAGUGAUGAAGGUCUUCGGAUUGUAAAACUCUGUCUUCAGGGACGAUAAUGACGGUACCUGAGGAGGAAGCCACGGCUAACUACGUGCCAGCCGCCGCGGUAAUACGUAGGUGGCAAGCGUUGUCCGGAUUUACUGGGCGUAAAGAGUAUGUAGGCGGAUAUUUAAGUCAGAUGUGAAAUUCCCGGGCUUAACCUGGGAGCUGCAUUUGAUACUGGAUAUCUAGAGUGCAGGAGAGGAAAGUGGAAUUCCUAGUGUAGCGGUGAAAUGCGUAGAGAUUAGGAAGAACACCAGUGGCGAAGGCGACUUUCUGGACUGUAACUGACGCUGAGAUACGAAAGCGUGG